GGGAGCAUGGUUUAGUGGUAUAACAUCUCAUUUGCAACCCCUAAAUGGGACUGGAAAUUUGAGAAGGUCUGGGGUUCGAUUCCCCAUGCUUCCA
Molecule: non-coding RNA, 94 nt
Organism: Kalaharituber pfeilii
Lineage: Eukaryota; Fungi; Ascomycota; Pezizomycetes; Pezizales; Pezizaceae
Source: the annotation of a GenBank genome assembly